AGUGAACGCUGGCGGCGUGCCUAACACAUGCAAGUCGAGCGCGAAAGGGUAGCAAUACCUGAGUAAAGCGGCGAACGGGUGAGUAACACGUGGUUAACCUACCGAAAUGUGGGGGAUACCCCGGAGAAAUUCGGGACAAUACCGCAUACAGUCUUCUGGACGUCGGUUCGGAAGAGCAAAGCCGGGGAUCGUAAGACCUGGCGCAUUUCGAGGGGACCGCGGCCGAUUAGCUAGUUGGCGGGGUAAUGGCCCACCAAGGCUUCGAUCGGUAGCCGGCCUGAGAGGGUGAACGGCCACACCGGAACUGAGACACGGUCCGGACUCCUACGGGAGGCAGCAGUGGGGAAUUUUGCGCAAUGGGCGAAAGCCUGACGCAGCAACGCCGCGUGGAGGAUGAAGGUUCUCUGAAUCGUAAACUCCUGUCGGCCGGGAAGAACUGGCAGAGUGCUAAUCAGCUCUGUCUUGACUGUACCGGCAAAGGAAGCCCCGGCUAACUCCGUGCCAGCAGCCGCUGUAAC
This 518-nucleotide ribosomal RNA is filed under the name uncultured bacterium. RNAcentral describes it as "bacterial SSU rRNA". It matches the Rfam family "Bacterial small subunit ribosomal RNA", at positions 29 to 524 of the family's 1533-position model. The record is from RNAcentral.